AUCAAGGGCCAAAAACGUGCCACAUCAUAACUUAACCCACUUAACCCAAACCACAUUUAACUACACUUAAACUAAAGCUGUUAAACUCAACCGGACAAACCAUAGUUCUCUCUCACCAAACCCAUCUGAACUUUUCAAAUUCAAACUCUCUCUCUCACUCUCUUCUCCAAGGUUCUCUCUCGCCCCGCCGUCACGGUGCCCCGACUUUCUCAUUCUCAUUCAUCCAUUCAUUCAUUUUCUCAUAUUUAGUCUUUUCUGAGUCAUCGUUUUCUCUCUUCUCUGAGAAUUAGGGUUUUCGAUUACUCGAACCUCGAACACACACAAAAAAUUCAUCUUCGUUUAUCUUCGGUUAAUACUUAUUUGGUAAAUUAUGUCUCUGUGUUUGUGAAAGAACCAUGUACUCCUCGAGAGGGAGCAAUGUGUUUGGGCAACAAUCGUAUGCGGCUCAAUCGGCUGCGUAUGGCGCUAGUAGGCAACGGAGCAGAGGCUACAGGAAAAGAGAGAAGAUGCUGCUCAUUUGCCUGGGGCUGUCUCUGAUGAUAAGUGGGAUGCUACACCGCUUGAUGCUUUUUUUGGUUGGCUAAAUAGGUGGGGGGAAAAUGGGUCAUUAGGUGGGUAGGUAUUAGUGGGAAAAGGCCAUAAUUUUGGUGUAUGUUGGUAGGAUUUGGCAGAAUGUUUGUGUUGGUAUGUAUUGGCCUGAAUUUGUGUUGGUAUGUAUUAGUGGGAAAAUGCCAGAAUUUUGGUGUAAUUCUUUAUGUAAUCCAAGACUUUAGUAAUGGAACAUGGUCUUUUUAAUUAAUCUA
Quercus lobata is the source of this 803-nucleotide long non-coding RNA. RefSeq lists it as uncharacterized. The record is from RefSeq and is a predicted model, not a curated record. The transcript has 3 exons. NCBI's taxonomy places the organism in Eukaryota, Viridiplantae, Streptophyta, Magnoliopsida, Fagales, Fagaceae.